GUGGUGGCUCAGUGGUAGAGCCCUCGCCUCACACGCAUGAGGUCCUGGGUUCGAUCCUCAGCACUACA
Molecule: transfer RNA, 68 nt
Filed under: Ictidomys tridecemlineatus (thirteen-lined ground squirrel)
Lineage: Eukaryota; Metazoa; Chordata; Mammalia; Rodentia; Sciuridae
Description: Spermophilus tridecemlineatus (thirteen-lined ground squirrel) tRNA
Rfam family: tRNA
About the family: Transfer RNA (tRNA) molecules are approximately 80 nucleotides in length.
Source: Rfam by way of RNAcentral